AGAAUCAACGCUGGCGGCGUGCCUAACACAUGCAAGUCGAACGCGGUUACCCCGCAAGGGGUGACUGAGUGGCAAACGGGUGAGUAACGCGUGGGUGACCUACCUUCGAGUGGGGGAUAACGUUUCGAAAGGAACGCUAAUACCGCAUGACAUCCUGCCUUUGGACAGGCGGAGAUCAAAGCCGGGGAUCGCAAGACCUGGCGCUUGGAGAGGGGCCCGCGUCCGAUUAGCUAGUUGGUGAGGUAACGGCUCACCAAGGCGACGAUCGGUAGCCGG
This 276-nucleotide ribosomal RNA is filed under the name uncultured soil bacterium. RNAcentral's name for it is "partial 16S ribosomal RNA". It matches the Rfam family "Bacterial small subunit ribosomal RNA", at positions 26 to 290 of the family's 1533-position model. The record is from RNAcentral.